UGUAGCAAUACACACGAGUACAGGUGCUGCAUGGCUGUCGUCAGCUCGUGCCGUGAGGUGUUGGGUUAAGUCCCGCAACGAGCGCAACCCUUGCACUUAGUUGCCAUCAGGUCAAGCUGGGCACUCUAAGUGGACUGCCUACGCAAGUAGUGAGGAAGGUGGGGAUGACGUCAAGUCCUCAUGGCCCUUACAUCCGGGGCCACACACGUGCUACAAUGGCCGGUACAGAGGGUUGCAGAGCCGCGAGGCGAAGCUAAUCCCAAAAAGCCGGUCUCAGUUCGGAUUGGAGUCUGCAACUCGACUCCAUGAAGCUGGAAUUGCUAGUAAUCGCGCAUCAGCACGGCGCGGUGAAUACGUUCCCGGGCCUUGUACACACCGCCCGUCAAGCCAUGGAAGCUGGGAGUACCCGAAACCGCUGCGCCAACCCGCAAGGGAGGCAGGCGUCUAAGGUAAGACCAGUGACUGGGGCUAAGUCGUAACAAGGUAGCCGUAUCGGAAGG
Molecule: ribosomal RNA, 500 nt
Filed under: uncultured bacterium
Lineage: Bacteria
Description: bacterial SSU rRNA
Rfam family: Bacterial small subunit ribosomal RNA
Source: RNAcentral